This 810-nucleotide ribosomal RNA is filed under the name uncultured bacterium. Its description in RNAcentral is "bacterial SSU rRNA". It matches the Rfam family "Bacterial small subunit ribosomal RNA", at positions 62 to 861 of the family's 1533-position model. The record is from RNAcentral.
UCGACGGCAGCACAGGAGAGCUUGCUCUCUGGGUGGCGAGUGGCGGACGGGUGAGGAAUACAUCGGAAUCUACUCUGUCGUGGGGGAUAACGUAGGGAAACUUACGCUAAUACCGCAUACGACCUACGGGUGAAAGUGGGGGACCGCAAGGCCUCACGCGAUUGAAUGAGCCGAUGUCGGAUUAGCUAGUUGGCGGGGUAAAGGCCCACCAAGGCGACGAUCCGUAGCUGGUCUGAGAGGAUGAUCAGCCACACUGGAACUGAGACACGGUCCAGACUCCUACGGGAGGCAGCAGUGGGGAAUAUUGGACAAUGGGCGCAAGCCUGAUCCAGCCAUACCGCGUGAGUGAAGAAGGCCCUCGGGUUGUAAAGCUCUUUUGUUGGGAAAGAAAUCCUGUUGGCUAAUACCCGGCGGGGAUGACGGUACCUAAAGAAUAAGCACCGGCUAACUUCGUGCCAGCAGCCGCGGUAAUACGAAGGGUGCAAGCGUUACUCGGAAUUACUGGGCGUAAAGCGUGCGUAGGUGGUUGCUUAAGUCUGUCGUGAAAGCCCUGGGCUCAACCUGGGAAUUGCGAUGGAUACUGGGCGACUAGAGUGUGGUAGAGGGUGGCGGAAUUCCCGGUGUAGCAGUGAAAUGCGUAGAGAUCGGGAGGAACAUCCGUGGCGAAGGCGGCCACCUGGGCCAACACUGACACUGAGGCACGAAAGCGUGGGGAGUAAACAGGAUUAGAUACCCUGGUAGUCCACGCCCUANACGAUGCGAACUGGAUGUUGGNUUCAACUUGGAACCCAGUAUCGAAGCUAACGCGUU